Molecule: transfer RNA, 74 nt
Filed under: Microbacterium phage Zooman
Lineage: Duplodnaviria; Heunggongvirae; Uroviricota; Caudoviricetes
Also listed under: 1 other name
Description: tRNA-Lys
Rfam family: tRNA
About the family: Transfer RNA (tRNA) molecules are approximately 80 nucleotides in length. Their secondary structure includes four short double-helical elements and three loops (D, anti-codon, and T loops).
Source: RNAcentral
GGGUCUAUCGUAUAACGGCUAAUUACUGCUGACUCUUACUCAGUUAAUCAGGGUUCGAUUCCCUGUGGACCCAC